UGCUAUCGGGGUGAGGCUAAGCCAUGGGAGUCGCGCGCCCAGCCGCCGCUGGCGCGCACGGCUGAGUAACACGUAGCUAACCUACCCUCGGGACGGGGAUAACCCCCGGGAAACUGGGGCUAAUCCCCCGAUAGGCGAGGGGGCCUGGAAUGGUCCCUCGCCGAAAGGGACCCUGGGGGGUUAUCGCCUGCGGUCCGCCCGAGGAUGGGGCUGCGGCCCAUCAUGGUAGUUGGCGGGGGUAAUGGCCCGCAAGCCGACGACGGGUAGGGGCCGUGGGAGCGGGAGCCCCCAGAUGGGCCCUGAGACAAGGGCCAGGCCUACGGGCGCACCAGGCGCGAAACCUCCGAAUGCGGGAAACCGUGACGGGGUCACCCC
RNAcentral lists this ribosomal RNA (375 nucleotides) under Acidilobus sp. 405-16. Its description in RNAcentral is "bacterial SSU rRNA". It matches the Rfam family "Archaeal small subunit ribosomal RNA", at positions 28 to 382 of the family's 1478-position model. The record is from RNAcentral. Lineage: Archaea; Thermoproteati; Thermoproteota; Thermoprotei; Acidilobales; Acidilobaceae.